GGUUCAGUUUCGAAUUAUAAUAUUUAAUCGACUGUCCCUAGCGUGAGUGAUAAAGGAGUUGAUGACUGAUACACGAGGUUUCAGGUUUGGAAUCCUAAUUUAUUUAUAUUUCUAGUUAAAUUUAUUUUUAAAUAAAAUAAACAAAGCGGAUAGUAUGUUACCUAUAUUUUCAAAAUAAAAAAAAAUUACAGUGUCUAAUUGUAGAUUUGUAGGCUUUGAUGAGUGUUUUAUA
This 232-nucleotide long non-coding RNA is filed under the name Ananas comosus (pineapple). Its description in RNAcentral is "long non-coding RNA (ACOM_LNC006499)". Lineage: Eukaryota; Viridiplantae; Streptophyta; Magnoliopsida; Poales; Bromeliaceae. The record is from RNAcentral.